UACGUAGGGUGCAAGCGUUAAUCGGAAUUACUGGGCGUAAAGCGCACGUAGGCGGCUUCUCAAGUCAGGGGUGAAAUCCUGGAGCUCAACUCCAGAACUGCCUUUGAUACUGAGGGGCUCGAGUCCGGGAGAGGUGAGUGGAACUGCGAGUGUAGAGGUGAAAUUCGUAGAUAUUCGCAAGAACACCAGUGGCGAAGGCGGCUCACUGGCCCGGUACUGACGCUGAGGUGCGAAAGCGUGGGGAGCAAACAGG
RNAcentral lists this ribosomal RNA (253 nucleotides) under uncultured bacterium. RNAcentral describes it as "partial 16S ribosomal RNA". It matches the Rfam family "Bacterial small subunit ribosomal RNA", at positions 524 to 776 of the family's 1533-position model. The record is from RNAcentral.